AGAGACAGCAGUCGCCGCGGUAAAACGGAGGGGGCUAGCGUUGUUCGGAAUUACUGGGCGUAAAGCGCACGUAGGCGGCUUUGUAAGUUAGAGGUGAAAGCCCGGAGCUCAACUCCGGAAUUGCCUUUAAGACUGCAGAGCUAGCAGGUGAGAGAGGUGAGUGGAAUUCCGAGUGUAGAGGUGAAAUUCGUAGAUAUUCGGAAGAACACCAGUGGCGAAGGCGGCUCACUGGCUCAUACUGGACGCUGAGGUGCGAAAGCGUGGGGAGCAAACAGGAUUAGAUACCCGGGUAGUCCCUGUCUCUUAUAC
This 309-nucleotide ribosomal RNA is filed under the name uncultured bacterium. Its description in RNAcentral is "partial 16S ribosomal RNA". It matches the Rfam family "Bacterial small subunit ribosomal RNA", at positions 504 to 807 of the family's 1533-position model. The record is from RNAcentral.